AAUCUCAAGGAAGCUCUUUGGGAGCCAGGAUUCCCAGCACUUAGCUGGUGGGCAAAGGGGUUCAACCCCUUCCCCACACCCCACCUUCCCUCCUCCCAGUCUUCGGGAUUGCGGAGCUCCUGCCGGGAUCCAAGAGCAGGCUCUUGGAGGUCGAAGAAGGAUAUAACCUCCAGACCUGGAAUUUAAGACGCAAGAACCAGCCAGCAAAAGUGGCAGCCGAGCAUGCGAGGGACUGCUGAUGGCUUUUUAUUAGGAAGCUAUGCAACUUGAGGUUCUACUGAAAAGGAGAAGAGGCCACUGGAGAUGGGAAGCCACGAAAACAUGAAGAUGUAGAAGUCUCAGCUCCUUCAAUGCUAUGUCUGCCAAGAUGCUGCCACACUCCCUUCUUGAUGAUAAUGGACUGAACCUCUGAACCUCAUUCUGUUGCCUACUUUCUACCUUGACGUCAUUUGGAGUAACAGCAGCCCAUGUUGUGAUAAUGGAGACAAUGAGUGCAUGGGAAAUUAUCAACUAACAAACACAGUACACAGAAAGGAGCUCUGGAGACCAGGGAGCACCCAAGCCAAUCCUGGAAACCGGAUUGGGCAGUUUCUGUAUCUGAGACCAAGACAGGAAAAAUGAAAUGUACUUGACAUGCAUUAGCAAAGAAGUGGGCAUUCUGGUGACAAAGCAUUGGUCCUCUGCAAACGGUUCCAGGUGGAGUGGGCAGAAGACAGCAGCCCCAGGGCUUGAGCCUCCCUUCACAGUGGGUACCUGGCACAGGCAGACAACAAGCAGUGAGUGGGCCAGCAGAAUGGAACGGCUUGGUCAGCACAGGCGCUUUCAUCAGAUGAAGUGGGGUCACCUUUUACACUCCUGUUAACUCCUUGGGUGGAAUUACCCAACGGAAUGAAAAUUGGAUGGAGUUAUGGCGGGACACUCUUACUGGACACUGAAACCAUCCUGCAGCAAAUUGCUUCUGUGAAAUCUUUCUGCUGUUUGGGAGGUAUCCUUCUAUAGCACAGAAACGGAAACUUCAGCCAGAAGAGAGGAAUUCAGUGACUCCAUGCCAACAGAAACAGAGCUCUGCAUUUGUUUCCUGAGCCUACUUGCACUUGGAAGGUUUCUUUCCUCACAAGAAACAUGUGUUACAGGAUAUAAAAGUGGCUUUCCGUUUGGGGUUAGAACCCGAAACAGAAAGACAACAGAGAAAAAUUUCAGCUCAGCCUUUCUAGAUUGGAAAUGAUGCAUGAAUGUUGUUGUUUCUCCAAGACUUCAGCACAGGUAUAACAUGGUGCUAAUUUAAUCACCCGGUGAAUCACCUUUUCUCUGUGAGAUGUUAACACUGAUGUAAGAUGUUUCCAUGUGAGGAACGGGAAAGACUUGAGACACAAAAAAGCUUCAAGGAUUGGUAAAUAGAAUAAUGUGGUCUGUACCCCACUAAUUUUUCUUGCCAUCCAUGAGAGGCCCGAUGGGCUGCAGCAAUGCAUCAUUUAGAUCGCCCCUUCAGCUGGUUCAUGGAAAACUAACAAAAAUUGAUGUUGUUAUCUGGGGUUUUCGUGUGUGAUUUGUCUAACUCUUUACAUUCAUUAUGGGUUUUGCCCUUCUUUAAUAAAAUGGCCUGAUAUUGCCUUCA
This 1615-nucleotide long non-coding RNA is filed under the name Mus musculus (house mouse). Its description in RNAcentral is "RIKEN cDNA 9530026P05 gene". The record is from RNAcentral. Lineage: Eukaryota; Metazoa; Chordata; Mammalia; Rodentia; Muridae.